Molecule: long non-coding RNA, 101 nt
Organism: Sapajus apella (tufted capuchin)
Lineage: Eukaryota; Metazoa; Chordata; Mammalia; Primates; Cebidae
Exons: 3
Source: RefSeq, a predicted model, not a curated record
AGACCGAGAACUACUGGAUCAGUGGAUAACAAGGUCAAUGUACAUGCUUCCUUUACAAAGGCAGCUAUGAAUCAUAUUAGCAAAUACUUAAGGAAACAGCA